Molecule: long non-coding RNA, 759 nt
Organism: Aethalodelphis obliquidens (Pacific white-sided dolphin)
Lineage: Eukaryota; Metazoa; Chordata; Mammalia; Artiodactyla; Delphinidae
Exons: 3
Source: RefSeq, a predicted model, not a curated record
GACCUUGAGAGGGUCAUUUCAUCUUGGUUUCCCACAUGGGAAAUAUCGCUGUGAAAUUAGAUGACCUCCAAGGCCACCGGACCAGCAGAGUCAGCAUCACCUAGGAGCUUGUUGGAAAUGCAGAUUUGAGGCUGCACCCCAGACCUGCUGAGUCAGAAUCUCUGCGUUGGGGCCCUGUGAGCUGUGUUUUAACAAGCCCUCCAGGUGAUGAUGAUCUGUGCUAAAGUUGAGAAGCGCUGAUCUAGGGGAGUGGCUUCUCAGACGUGGCUGCAGAUUAGAAUCACCGGGGAGUUCUGGAACCUCCCAAACAAAUCAGAAUCUCGUCGGCGGGGGAAGGAGGGACGGCAGGAAGCCCAGGCAUAAGUUUUUUUUUUUUAAGCUUCUCGAGUGACCCCCAUGUGCUAUCAAGUUGACGGUUUUGGUGACCACGAAGGGCCCAGAGCAGACUUGUCUCCUUCACCUAACUCUACGAGGAUCUGGAGCUUGGUACCAGCACAGGCCUCUUUGGUCCAUGCACCUCCACCUCGUCAGAGAGUCCAGACGAAUUUGGCUCCCAGGAAACAUCCUGACCAGGCCCACCUGUGACGGACUGCAAGGAGGAAGAAAUGAAUGCAUCCCCUCCAGAGUCUGGCAGGAACCAGGAAACAUUUACAACAACUUAUCACCUUGUUUUUUUUUUUUUCUUUUUUAACUUUACCUCCUUACCUCCCCCUCUUUGUUUUAUAAAAGAAACUAGCAUCCAAACCCAGGCAAGAUGGU